UAAGUUUACCCUAAGUCAAACUUGUUUAAGUUUGUCCAAUUCUACAAAAAAAUGUGGUAAGACCUACGACACCAAAUACACGUAGUGUGAAAAUAUAUUUCAUAGAUAAUCUCAUGAGACUAGUUUGACGAUCUAGGUGUUAAUAUUUUUUUUAUAGUUUUGGUCAAACUUAAACAAGUUUGACUUAGGACAAACCUCA
Molecule: microRNA precursor, 199 nt
Filed under: Triticum aestivum (bread wheat)
Lineage: Eukaryota; Viridiplantae; Streptophyta; Magnoliopsida; Poales; Poaceae
Also listed under: 1 other name
Description: MIR1435 microRNA precursor family
Rfam family: MIR1435 microRNA precursor family
Source: Rfam by way of RNAcentral